UGGGGAAUAUUGGACAAUGGGCGCAAGCCUGAUCCAGCCAUGCCGCGUGAGUGAAGAAGGCCUUAGGGUUGUAAAGCUCUUUCAGUCGUGACGAUGAUGACGGUAGCGACCGAAGAAGCCCCGGCUAACUCCGUGCCAGCAGCCGCGGUAAUACGGAGGGGGCAAGCGUUGUUCGGUUUUACUGGGCGUAAAGGGCGCGUAGGCGGGGUAUCCAGUUAGGGGUGAAAGCCCGGGGCUCAACCUCGGAACUGCCUUUAAAACUGAUACUCUAGAGUGCGGAAGAGGGUCGCGGAAUUCCCAGUGUAGAGGUGAAAUUCGUAGAUAUUGGGAAGAACACCGGUGGCGAAGGCGGCUCACUGGCUCGAUACUGACGCUGAGGUGCGAAAGCGUGGGGAGCAAACAGGAUUAGAUACCCGCGUAGGCC
This 424-nucleotide ribosomal RNA is filed under the name uncultured prokaryote. RNAcentral's name for it is "bacterial SSU rRNA". It matches the Rfam family "Bacterial small subunit ribosomal RNA", at positions 355 to 796 of the family's 1533-position model. The record is from RNAcentral.